This 497-nucleotide ribosomal RNA is filed under the name uncultured bacterium. Its description in RNAcentral is "partial 16S ribosomal RNA". It matches the Rfam family "Bacterial small subunit ribosomal RNA", at positions 28 to 507 of the family's 1533-position model. The record is from RNAcentral.
GAUGAACGCUGGCGGCGUGCCUAAUACAUGCAAGUCGAGCGAACAGACGAGGAGCUUGCUCCUCUGACGUUAGCGGCGGACGGGUGAGUAACACGUGGAUAACCUACCUAUAAGACUGGGAUAACUUCGGGAAACCGGAGCUAAUACCGGAUAAUAUAUUGAACCGCAUGGUUCAAUAGUGAAAGACGGUUUUGCUGUCACUUAUAGAUGGAUCCGCGCCGCAUUAGCUAGUUGUUAAGGUAACGGCUUACCAAGGCGACGAUGCGUAGCCGACCUGAGAGGGAGAACGACCAGACGGGAAGUGAGACACGGUCCAGACUCCUAGGGGAGGCAGCAGUAGGGAAUCUUCCGCGAUGGGCGAGAGCCGGACGGAGCAACGCCGCGUGAGGGAUGAAGGUCUUCGGAUCGUAGAACUCUGUUAUUAGGGAAGAACAAAUGUGUAAGUAACUAUGCACGUCUUGACGGUACCUAAUCAGAAAGCCACGGCUAACUACGUG